RNAcentral lists this ribosomal RNA (506 nucleotides) under uncultured bacterium. Its description in RNAcentral is "partial 16S ribosomal RNA". It matches the Rfam family "Bacterial small subunit ribosomal RNA", at positions 30 to 523 of the family's 1533-position model. The record is from RNAcentral.
AUUGAACGCUGGCGGCAUGCCUUACACAUGCAAGUCGAACGGCAGCAUGGAAGAGCUUGCUCUUCUGAUGGCGAGUGGCGAACGGGUGAGUAAAGCAUCGGAACGUACCGUGUAAUGGGGGAUAACGUAGCGAAAGUUACGCUAAUACCGCAUACGACCUGAGGGUGAAAGCAGGGGAUCGCAAGACCUUGCGUUAUACGAGCGGCCGAUGUCAGAUUAGCUAGUUGGUAGGGUAAAGGCCUACCAAGGCGACGAUCUGUAGCGGGUCUGAGAGGAUGAUCCGCCACACUGGGACUGCGACACGGCCCAGACUCCUACGGGAGGCAGCAGUGGGGAAUUUUGGACAAUGGGGGCAACCCUGAUCCAGCCAUGCCGCGUGAGUGAAGAAGGCCUUCGGGUUGUAAAGCUCUUUCGGCCGGGAAGAAAUCGCACAGGCUAAUACUCUGUGUGGAUGACGGUACCGGCAUAAGAAGCACCGGCUAACUACGUGCCAGCAGCCGCAGUAA